RNAcentral lists this long non-coding RNA (1125 nucleotides) under Homo sapiens (human). RNAcentral's name for it is "HSALNT0154029". Lineage: Eukaryota; Metazoa; Chordata; Mammalia; Primates; Hominidae. The record is from RNAcentral.
AUAAUUUUAUUAAAAGUCUAGCAUUUUAACAUGAAAUUAUUUCAUUCUUCUUUUAAAUAUAUUCAAUGGAAUACAAAUACCAUCAUCAUUUGAAACCUACCAUCAUCCAUUUAAAAAUAUACAAACCGUACUCUCCUUUAGUCAGAAAUUUUACAUGAUUCUUUUUUUUCUCUAAAAUCAUACUUCCAAUUUAAUUUCCCCACAAAAUUUAAUCCUGUCUCAAUUACCCUUUUGUUGCCUCUCAUCUCCAAAGUCAUACUUCAUUGGUUUUGUGAAAAUGGAUCUGGAUCCUUUAAAUAUCUUUUCUUUGCCAACUGGCAUAAUGCUGAUUUGUUCAUAGAAGGUGUUGGAGAGAUAUUCCAGGAGGAAGGAAUGGGUAUGUCUUCCUGGGUCUAACGUGGUUUUCUCCAAUGCUAGGCAAAGCGCAGCUUUUUUUAGCUCUUCAUGAAGGCAGUAGUGCUAUAGCUGGGAGCCUCAGACAAUGUGGCUCUGAGUCUUAGCCCAUUCUGCUGCUCCUCAUACCCUAUCCUCAGCGCCUCAUGCGUACUUGCUGGGGCCCUGCAGUGAUGGCCAUUUAGCAAGCCAGCCAACUGACCUUUGCUCUGCACCAAAGCCCAGAGCUUUCCAAGCCCAAGCUAUACACAGAAGUGUGUUAGGUUUCGACAGAGGGCAGUCUGUUUAUCUCCUGGUUUCAGCAAUGCCCACAGUGGUGCCACAACUCUCUCCAUGUCCCCCACCUCCAUCAACUCUGGCUCUCCUGUGUGCAAAAGGUUUUUUCCCCACAGCCCUCCUGUCAUGAACAUCGUGUGCUCCAGGCCUUAUCGGGCCUACCAGCCUUGGCUUGCCAAUGCCCCAAAGGGUUGUUCUUGUUUUCCCAGCAAUUAUGGACCAAUUCUGGCUUCAAAUAAAAUAAAAUUUCUUUCUUGUCCAGUGGGCUACAACCACACCUUCUUCAAAGAGGUCUUCAAAUAGGUGACCAGGUUUGUCUUUCUUUUGGGCUCUCCCUCAACUUUAGGGUACCCUUAGAGUUCUCAUUCACAGCUUAAAAAUUUUUUAUAUUAAAUUUCCCCUAUUUAAAUUACUGUGCAGUUUCUCUCUUGGUUGAACCCAGAUUGAUGCAAAUCC